GACGAACGCUGGCGGCGUGGAUAAGACAUGCAAGUCGAGCGCGAAUUUACCUGUAGCAAUACAGGUAAGUUUGAGCGGCGCAAGGGUGCGUAACACGUGGGUAAUUUGCCGUGAAGUUGGGGGAUAACUCGCUGAAAGGCGAGCUAAUACCGGAUGUGGAAUGAGAGUGGCAUCACUUUUCUUCUAAAGCUGGGGAUCGUAAGACCUGGCGCUUCAUGAUAAGCCCGCGGCCUAUCAGCUAGUUGGUGCGGUAACGGCGCACCAAGGCUAAGACGGGUAGCUGGUCUGAGAGGACGACCAGCCACACUGGAACUGAGACACGGUCCAGACACCUACGGGUGGCAGCAGUCGAGAAUUUUUCUCAAUGGGCGAAAGCCUGAAGGAGCGACGCCGCGUGGGGGGUAUGAAAGGGUUUUCGAUCCGUAAAACCCCCGUGUCAUUCGUGAACAAUGCUUACCAGUGAACAACUGGUGAGUUGAUAGUAACGGAAGAGGAAGGGACGGCUAACUCUGUGCCAGCAGCCGCGGUAAUACAGAGGUCCCGAGCGUUGUUCGGAUUCACUGGGCGUAAAGGGUGCGUAGGUGGCAUGGUAAGUUUGAUGUGAAAGCUCAGAGCUCAACUCUGAAAUGGCAUUGAAUACUACUGUGCUGGAGGUUUGGAGGGGGGCACGGAAUUCUUGGUGUAGCAGUGAAAGCNUAGAUAUCAAGAGGAACACCAGUGGCCGAAGGCGAGU
RNAcentral lists this ribosomal RNA (733 nucleotides) under uncultured bacterium. RNAcentral's name for it is "bacterial SSU rRNA". It matches the Rfam family "Bacterial small subunit ribosomal RNA", at positions 28 to 727 of the family's 1533-position model. The record is from RNAcentral.